This 253-nucleotide ribosomal RNA is filed under the name uncultured bacterium. RNAcentral describes it as "partial 16S ribosomal RNA". It matches the Rfam family "Bacterial small subunit ribosomal RNA", at positions 524 to 776 of the family's 1533-position model. The record is from RNAcentral.
GACGUAGGAUGCAAGCGUUAUCCGGAAUUAUUGGGCGUAAAGAGUUCGUAGGUGGUUUGUUAAGUUGGAUGUUAAAUCUUUGAGCUCAACUCAAAAUUGGUAUCCAAAACUGGCAAGCUUGAGACAGGUAGAGGUAAACGGAAUUCUAUGUGUAGGGGUAAUAUCCGUAGAUAUAUAGAAGAACACCAAAAGCGAAAGCAGUUUACUGGACCUGUUCUGACACUCAAGAACGAAAGCGUGGGGAGCAAACAGG